Molecule: ribosomal RNA, 469 nt
Filed under: Gemella haemolysans
Lineage: Bacteria; Bacillati; Bacillota; Bacilli; Caryophanales; Gemellaceae
Description: bacterial SSU rRNA
Rfam family: Bacterial small subunit ribosomal RNA
Source: RNAcentral
GACGAACGCUGGCGGCGUGCCUAAUACAUGCAAGUCGAGCGAAGUUUUUCUGGUGCUUGCACCGGAAAAACUUAGCGGCGAACGGGUGAGUAACACGUAAAGAACCUGCCUCAUAGACUGGGACAACUAUUGGAAACGAUAGCUAAUACUGGAUAACAGCAUUAACUGCAUGGUUGAUGUUUAAAAGUUGGUUUUGCUAACACUAUGAGAUGGCUUUGCGGUGCAUUAGCUAGUUGGUGGGGUAAAGGCCUACCAAGGCGACGAUGCAUAGCCGACCUGAGAGGGUGAUCGGCCACACUGGGACUGAGACACGGCCCAGACUCCUACGGGAGGCAGCAGUAGGGAAUCUUCCGCAAUGGGCGAAAGCCUGACGGAGCAACGCCGCGUGAGUGAAGAAGGAUUUCGGUUCGUAAAGCUCUGUUGUUAGGGAAGAAUGAUUGUGUAGUAACUAUACACAGUAGAGACGGAC